Non-coding RNA from Bos taurus (domestic cattle), 73 nucleotides. Lineage: Eukaryota; Metazoa; Chordata; Mammalia; Artiodactyla; Bovidae. The record is from Rfam.
UCCCUGGUGGGCCAGUGGUUAAGGCUCCACGCUUACAAUGCAGGGGGCCCAGGUUUGAUCCCUGGUCAGGGAA